Molecule: long non-coding RNA, 355 nt
Filed under: Physcomitrium patens
Lineage: Eukaryota; Viridiplantae; Streptophyta; Bryopsida; Funariales; Funariaceae
Description: long non-coding RNA (PPAT_LNC008017)
Source: RNAcentral
AGCCUUUUCUCUUUCUUAUCUAUCCAAUCUUAUUCCAUCAAAGUUCUUAGCGUUUUUAGUUACGUUCGUUCCCAUAGUCUCCUUCCCUCGGAUGGCCAUUUACAUGCUUCAAGAGAGCAUACCGCCAUCACAGAAUUCCUUGUACCUACCUUGCGUCGUCUAUCUACAGUUCACUACUUGGCACUUCGCAUUCAAUUUCAUGUACCUUGCUACUCUAUUGUGUACCCACUUGUCCGCAACAUAGUCUAUACCAGUUUUUACCUUUUUCGUUUCACCUUCAUCUUAUAACCAGCGCAUUGUGAAUUACCCCAUCCUAGUUUGCGAAGGUAUCUCAUCCGAUUUUUCAGAUUUACAC